AGUGAACGCUGGCGGUAGGCCUAACACAUGCAAGUCGAACGGCAGCACAGUAAGAGCUUGCUCUUACGGGUGGCGAGUGGCGGACGGGUGAGGAAUACAUCGGAAUCUACUUUUUCGUGGGGGAUAACGUAGGGAAACUUACGCUAAUACCGCAUACGACCUACGGGUGAAAGCAUGGGAUCUUCGGACCUUGCGCGAUUGAAUGAGCCGAGUUCGGAUUAGCUAGUUGGCGGGGUAAAGGCCCACCAAGGCGACGAUCCGUAGAUGGUCUGAGAGGAUGAUCAGCCACACUGGAACUGAGACACGGUCCAGACAACUACGGGAGGCAGCAGUGGGGAAUAUUGGAAAAUGGGCGAAAGCCUGAUACAGACAUACCGCGUGGGUGAAGAAGGCCUUCGGGUUGUAAAGCACUUUUGUUGGGAAAGAAAAGAAGCAGGUUAAUACCCCGCUGUUAUGACGGUACCCAAAGAAUAAGCACCGGCUAACUUCGUG
Molecule: ribosomal RNA, 492 nt
Filed under: uncultured bacterium
Lineage: Bacteria
Description: partial 16S ribosomal RNA
Rfam family: Bacterial small subunit ribosomal RNA
Source: RNAcentral